AGUAGUUUGAUCGUGGCUCGAGGACGACGCUGGCGGCGUGCUUAACACAUGCAAGUCGAACGGGGAUUACCGGACGGAAGGGCUUCGGCCUGGAAGGCUGGCAAUUCUAGUGGCGGACGGGUGAGUAACGCGUGAGCGAUCUAUCCCAUACAGGGGGAUAACACUUGGAAACAGGUGCUAAUACCGCAUAAGACCACAGAGCCGCAUGGUUCAGGGGUAAAAGGAGCGAUCCGGUAUGGGGUGAGCUCGCGUCCGAUUAGCUAGUUGGCGAGGUAACGGCCCACCAAGGCGACGAUCGGUAGCCGACCUGAGAGGGUGAUCGGCCACAUUGGAACUGAGAGACGGUCCAAACUCC
RNAcentral lists this ribosomal RNA (355 nucleotides) under uncultured Coriobacteriales bacterium. Its description in RNAcentral is "bacterial SSU rRNA". It matches the Rfam family "Bacterial small subunit ribosomal RNA", at positions 1 to 339 of the family's 1533-position model. The record is from RNAcentral. Lineage: Bacteria; Bacillati; Actinomycetota; Coriobacteriia; Coriobacteriales.